RNAcentral lists this ribosomal RNA (392 nucleotides) under Staphylococcus aureus. RNAcentral describes it as "bacterial SSU rRNA". It matches the Rfam family "Bacterial small subunit ribosomal RNA", at positions 1 to 381 of the family's 1533-position model. The record is from RNAcentral. Lineage: Bacteria; Bacillati; Bacillota; Bacilli; Caryophanales; Staphylococcaceae.
UUUUAUGGAGAGUUUGAUCCUGGCUCAGGAUGAACGCUGGCGGCGUGCCUAAUACAUGCAAGUCGAGCGAACGGACGAGAAGCUUGCUUCUCUGAUGUUAGCGGCGGACGGGUGAGUAACACGUGGAUAACCUACCUAUAAGACUGGGAUAACUUCGGGAAACCGGAGCUAAUACCGGAUAAUAUUUUGAACCGCAUGGUUCAAAAGUGAAAGACGGUCUUGCUGUCACUUAUAGAUGGAUCCGCGCUGCAUUAGCUAGUUGGUAAGGUAACGGCUUACCAAGGCAACGAUGCAUAGCCGACCUGAGAGGGUGAUCGGCCACACUGGAACUGAGACACGGUCCAGACUCCUACGGGAGGCAGCAGUAGGGAAUCUUCCGCAAUGGGCGAAAG